UACAGAGGGUGCGAGCGUUAAUCGGAAUUACUGGGCGUAAAGGGUGCGUAGGCGGCAAGAUGUGUGUGAUGUGAAAGCCCCGGGCUUAACCUGGGAAGUGCAUUGCAAACUAUCUGGCUAGAGUAUAUGAGAGGGUGGCGGAAUUUCCGGUGUAGCGGUGAAAUGCGUAGAGAUCGGAAGGAACGUCAAUGGCGAAGGCAGCCACCUGGCAUAAUACUGACGCUGAGGCACGAAAGCGUGGGGAGCGAACAGG
This 253-nucleotide ribosomal RNA is filed under the name uncultured bacterium. RNAcentral's name for it is "partial 16S ribosomal RNA". It matches the Rfam family "Bacterial small subunit ribosomal RNA", at positions 524 to 776 of the family's 1533-position model. The record is from RNAcentral.